GCGGGGCUGCCCGGUGCGUCAGGCAAUUCAAACCCCUGGGCCGAUAAGCACUUCCUCGGGAGCUGGCGCUGCUGUGAUCGUGGUCAUGGUAUCCGGCGCCCACCUGCACUAGCAGGUCCUGGAGGUUGUAUAUACCAACGGCCAGGGUGGCUCCGCA
This 157-nucleotide non-coding RNA is filed under the name Acetobacter oeni. RNAcentral describes it as "6S / SsrS RNA". It matches the Rfam family "6S / SsrS RNA". From Rfam's summary of the family: E. coli 6S RNA was the first non coding RNA to be sequenced, but its function was unknown until recently. It consists of 184 nucleotides that fold into an extended hairpin structure with a large single-stranded internal bulge. The record is from Rfam by way of RNAcentral. Lineage: Bacteria; Pseudomonadati; Pseudomonadota; Alphaproteobacteria; Acetobacterales; Acetobacteraceae.